UAGAUAAGGGACUUCUAGAGUGGCACUUGC
Molecule: non-coding RNA, 30 nt
Filed under: Rattus norvegicus (Norway rat)
Lineage: Eukaryota; Metazoa; Chordata; Mammalia; Rodentia; Muridae
Source: RNAcentral